GACGAACGCUGGCGGCGCGCCUAACACAUGCAAGUCGAACGGAGAAUUAGCAAUAAUUCUUAGUGGCGAACGGGUGAGUAACGCGUAGACAACCUACCCUUUAGAUGGGGACAACACCGCGAAAGUGGUGCUAAUACCGAAUAUUGCUUGGGAAGCGCAUGCUUUUCAAACUAAAGAUGGCCUCUAUUUAUAAGCUAUCGCUAAAGAAUGGGUCUGCGUCUGAUUAGCUAGUUGGUGAGAUAAAAGCUCACCAAGGCAACGAUCAGUAGCCGGUCUGAGAGGAUGAACGGCCACACUGGGACUGAGACACGGCCCAGACUCCUACGGGAGGCAGCAGUGGGGAAUCUUCCGCAAUGGACGAAAGUCUGACGGAGCAACGCCGCGUGAGUGAUGAAGGUUCUCGGAUCGUAAAACUCUGUUGUUAAGGACGAAUGUAUAGAUUGUGAAUAAUGGUUUAUAAUGACGGUACUUAACGAGGAAGCCACGGCUAACUACGUGCCAGCAGCCGCCGUAA
This 514-nucleotide ribosomal RNA is filed under the name uncultured bacterium. Its description in RNAcentral is "partial 16S ribosomal RNA". It matches the Rfam family "Bacterial small subunit ribosomal RNA", at positions 28 to 523 of the family's 1533-position model. The record is from RNAcentral.